Molecule: long non-coding RNA, 3520 nt
Filed under: Pelobates cultripes (western spadefoot toad)
Lineage: Eukaryota; Metazoa; Chordata; Amphibia; Anura; Pelobatidae
Source: RNAcentral
GCGGGAGGGGGGUUAAAAAAAAAAACGGGAUUCGGCAUGACAGUGCCGCUUUAAGACACUACUUCUCAGAGAAUGAACACCAAGACACGGCCCCAACCAUAGUCUGGGAGGCACACAAAUGUGUCAUGAGGGGGACGCUUAUAAAGUUGGCAUCAGACCACAGGCGCCAAAGAGAGAGUAGAGUGAACAACCUAUUAGAGGAGACUAAAAAACUAGAGGACCAACACAUCGGCGACCUGUCGAUCACGACAUAUAAAACACUGUUAACAAAAAGAUCAGAACUCGCCACCACACUACAACUCCAGGCAAAAAGGACAAUUGGCUUCACUAAACAUACAUAUUACACACAAGGUGGUAAAAGUGGCAGGCUCUUGGUCCAAGCCCUAAAACAAGAAAAGCCUUCAACCUUUGUAUCUGACAUUAAGCUGCAGGAUGGGACGGUCUCUCAGAAGAUGCCAGAGAUUCUAAAGGCCUUUAGAAAUUAUUAUACCGGACUCUACAAUCUCAGAGCCUCCCCUCCCGACCCCGCAGACAUAGAAAAGUUCCUCCAGGGGAGAAUCAAGUGGACCAUCACACCUAAUGUGCGACAAUUCUUAGAUGUUCCUAUCUCGGAGGAGGAACUCAGAUACGCUAUAAUACAGCUACCCUUAGGCAAAAGCCCGGGCCCGGACGGUUUUACAGGCAGAUACUAUAAGACACUGUCCCAGGACCUAUUACAGGCAUUUCUUAGAGCCUUUAACACAAGGGACCUAAAACACACUAUCCCACACUCCGCCUUAGAAGCCCACAUAGCACUGAUUCCCAAAGAGGGGAAAGAUCUGUCUAACUGCGGGAGCUAUAGACCCAUCUCGUUAAUAAACUUAGACCUGAAGUUAUUCACUAAGAUACUGGCCACUAGACUUAAGCCCUUACUCACGGAGCUCAUACAGGAGGACCAAGCGGGCUUUGUGCCUAAUAGGGAGGCGAAAAACAACACCACAAAGCUUAUCAAUUUGAUGCACUGGGCAAGGACCUCACACAAAGCCUCCCCCAGUCUACUUUUGUCAAUAGAUGCCGAGAAGGCUUUUGACAGAGUGGAUUGGUCCUUUAUGAUGGCCACGAUGAGAGGAUUGGGGUUUGGGGACAGGUGGAUGGAGUGGCUUGAAACUAUAUACUCCUCCCCCACAGCUAAAUUGAGAAUAAAUGGCCAACUAUCUGAGACAGUCCAAAUCCGAAAUGGAACGAGACAGGGAUGCCCUCUCUCGCCGUUAAUUUUUAUUCUAGUGCUAGAACCGUUCCUACAAGGGAUAAGAGAUAACCAUCAGAUAAAGGGAUUCGCUGUAAACAGCAUAGACUACAAGGUCUCUGCGUUUGCAGAUGAUCUUUUGUUCACAGUGGCGGACCCUCUUCACUCACUUACUCAAAUUCUCAGGGAAAUGGACUCCUACAGUACGGUCUCCAACUUUAAGGCAAAUCUCACCAAAUGCAAAAUUCUCCCAAUACUAAUCAAACCAGAACUAGAGGGGCAGAUCAAAUCGUCAUUCCCCUUCAGCUGGGCCACUAAGUCUAUAAAAUAUCUAGGGGUCCACCUCCCACGUAAAUUAGAACACAUAUAUGAACUGAACGUCCUCCCAAUCUUAAAAGCAAUCUCUGCAGAUCUGAUCAAAUGGCACAGACCGGGCUUUGGUUGGUUUUGCAGGGUUAACAUUAUUAAAAUGAAUGUGCUCCCUAGGCUACUAUACCCUCUCCAAACUCUACCCAUAGCUAUCCCUAAGUCUUUCUUUGAUGCGGUACGUAAAAACGUCAAUGCCUUCAUUUGGUCACACGCCCACCCCAGAUUGGCACACGCUUCCUUGACGAUCCCCCGUGAAGGUGGAGGAGUGGGUCUCCCAGACUUGGAACUAUACCACAAAGCCAUACACCUGGCCAGGAUAUACGAGUGGACUAAAGUGCCCUCUCCACACCAGUGGACGGCGAUAGAAAACUCAUUCCUAGAAACCCCUAUACAGACGUUACCCUGGCAUAAGACAGCCUGCCCUUUCAUACGUCAUAAACACUAUCCCACAAUAGAGGCCACUCUCAAGGUAUGGCAGCCCCUACACACCAACGAAACCAUGUCAAGCUUCCCAUCACCACUGUACCCAAUCACUCACAACCCCCACUAUGAGCCGGGUAAGACGGGCAUUCUAUUCAACCCUAAUCAGAAGAAAGAUUACAUCAAACUAAGGGAGGUGGCAAAAGAAGGUCGACUAUUACCAAUUCAAAUCUUAGCUGCUUCACAGACACCAUCAGGGAUACAGCAGUUACACUACGCCCAACUAACUCACUUUAUCCGAACCAUGCAACUCCUGCCAAAAGGAGAGAGAGAACUCACUGACUUUGAACAGUUGUGCUCCGAGCACAAACUGAAAAGAAAAGUGCUCUCCACAAUGUGCAAAUUAUUGCUCAAGCCCCGGGAACAGGAAUUGCCCGCUUUUGUGGGGAAAUGGUGUAAUGAAAUACAUUUAGAUAUCUCCAUCACCCAAUGGAGACAAAUAUUUUUGAGGGCCCAUAAAACAUCCACCUGCUUAAAUACACAGGAGGAAAACUAUAAGAUAUUGUCCCGUUGGCACUAUACCCCAGCCAAGCUACACAAAAUAUACACUACGACGCAGCACGCUUGCUGGAGAUGCCAGCAACCCAAUGCUCAUCCCGCGCACAUAUGGUGGGAAUGCACUCACAUACAAGCCUUCUGGAAUAGAAUGAUUAAGCUCAUUAACAUUGCCACAGGAAUAAAUAUACCAUUCUCCCCGGAAUAUGUAUUGUUCCUUCUCCCGCCCCCUGGAAUAAAGAAACAUACUUUAUCACUCAUUACACACCUCCUCACGGCAGCAAAUCUGCUAAUACCAAAACAAUGGAAACAGGCACAACCCCCCUCUGUCAGAGAAUGGUUUAGUAAGGUAGAAGGAAUAAAACAAAUGGAGGAGCUUACUUUCGCCACAACCAAAGACCUUCACACGUUCAACCGUAUAUGGGGACCCUGAAAUGAUUUCCUAAGUAAGGCAAAUAUGCCAGGUGAGCGUCCCGCCCCAGUAUAGUGAUACCCAACACAAUACGCACAUAGGUCCGGAGAGGCUCUAUCUAACUCUAUCUAAUACUAUCGCUGUAUUGAUUACUGAUAAUGGGAUAGUCAAACCGUUAAACUGAACUAUCUAAUCUCCUAUGUGUAAUCUUCUGUAGAAUCGCUCAAAUGAUUACUGACAACGUGAUAACUAAUCGGUUAAACUGCAAUAUGUUAAGUCCUACAUAAGAACGCUGUGAUAAUAAUUGUCAAUGCGAGAGUUAAACGGACAAACUGCACUUUUCAGGUUCCUAUGUGAAGAAAUAAUCCGACAACACACGUGACAAGGGUUAUGUAGCUCAUUUUACUGUUAAAAAUUGAUUGUUCAUCUUAAAUAUGUACAAAGCCUAACAACUUGUAAUUGUAUAACGUUGCAUUUAUGAUGUAAUUUUCUGUUGAAAAACGAAUAAAAAGAAAAUAAAUAAAAAAAAAUAAAUAAAA